AGUGAACGCUGGCGGUAGGCCUAACACAUGCAAGUCGAACGGCAGCACAGUAAGAGCUUGCUCUUACGGGUGGCGAGUGGCGGACGGGUGAGGAAUACAUCGGAAUCUACUUUUUCGUGGGGGAUAACGUAGGGAAACUUACGCUAAUACCGCAUACGACCUACGGGUGAAAGCAGGGGAUCUUCGGACCUUGCGCGAUUGAAUGAGCCGAUGUCGGAUUAGCUAGUUGGCGGGGUAAAGGCCCACCAAGGCGACGAUCCGUAGCUUGUCUGAGAGGAUGAUCGGCCACACUGGAGGUGAGACACGGUCCAGACUCCUACGGGAGGCAGCAGUGGGGAAUAUUGGACAGUGGGCGCAAGCCUGAUCCAGCCAUACCACGUGGGUGAAGAAGACGUUCGGGUUGUGAAGCCCUUUUGUUGGGAAAGAAAAGCAGCAGGUUAAUACCCAGCUGUUCUGACGGUACCCAAAGAAUAAGCACCGGCUAACUUCGCG
This 492-nucleotide ribosomal RNA is filed under the name uncultured bacterium. RNAcentral's name for it is "partial 16S ribosomal RNA". It matches the Rfam family "Bacterial small subunit ribosomal RNA", at positions 29 to 507 of the family's 1533-position model. The record is from RNAcentral.